GCUUCCUGAGUGAGGCCAGGGACUCAAACCCGAAUCCUCAUAGAUACUAGUCAGGUUCGUUACCACUGAGCCACAACAGGAAUGCUGCUCAAUUUCUUCUAUACUGAGUUUACAAGAUGAGAUGGUGUGAGGACUGGAGCUGCGACAGCCAUCUUGCAGCCUCUGCAUGCGGUAAAGCUUUCUCCGGGCCAUUUUGGUAGAGAGGAGACUGAGCCCGGAAGAGAACAUGCGACCCCUCCUAAGGUCAGGGAGCCUGUCACCGCCCCACCUCCCCGGACGGCCAGGUGAGGGACUGUUGUACCUGCCGCUCACGGCGACGCCAGUUUCCUGGGCUCUGGGGACUCUGUGCUACCCUCACCUCACCAUCCUGAGGUCCUGCUUACCUGUCUGUGGUCCUCCUGAGAACUGGGACUGUCGUCUCUCAGCGUCCCGUGUCCCAGCGCUGUACCUGGCUCAGUCAGGAGCCUGGAUGACGUCUGAAUGUUAGCGCUGGCAUCUCCGCCAUCCUCGCCGCCCAGUCGGCUUCCUCUUCUCCCACCUUCCCCUCCUCCCCCAGGGGACACUGACGGAGGACGCAGUUUGGCGGCUAAGAAGAGGUCAGCUUCUGGUGUUAGGCAAACUCUGACUCUGCCAUUCGCUGCCACAUUUAAUAUGGCUAAGGCCUCACUUUGCACGUCUGUAAAAUGGAAAUGAUGGGGAGGGAGCUUUAUCAGCCCAGAGUCUGGCACAAAAUAGGCAUUUACUAAAUAAUGUCUGUAAAUAUCUAC
This is a non-coding RNA of Sus scrofa (pig), 767 nucleotides long. The record is from RefSeq and is a predicted model, not a curated record. NCBI's taxonomy places the organism in Eukaryota, Metazoa, Chordata, Mammalia, Artiodactyla, Suidae.